CCAGGGGGUACUAGAGAACCACGACGGGCCAUCCUACAAGGCAUCGACGGCUUCCGAUCAGACAUCGUAAACUGGUCGUUAUCCUGUCGGAAACAAUAGAGUAAACCGACACAUCAGGUGAUGGUGGUUUUACGAAGGACGGCAACUAGGAAUUGUGUUUAUAUCGCUGCCAUCGCUUGAAGACAGGAACAAGAUGGUGGAUGGAUGUCACGCAAGACAAUAUGCAAUUCUUGCGUGACACAUGAUAAAUCAGGCCAGAAUGAUCCCGUGUAAUAAGCGCCGGUAGUGCCGGCGAUAGGUUGGAAGCCAAAGAAAGUCACCGUUCGCGGCCCGAUGCGGGCGGACUAAGCAUCAUCUUCAACUUCGCCUUCGGUACAAACUGCAAGAUCCCUGCAGCUCCCAGCCCAAAAAUAAUAAAGAGAAUCAAGGACCGUUGUC
Molecule: long non-coding RNA, 438 nt
Organism: Nematostella vectensis (starlet sea anemone)
Lineage: Eukaryota; Metazoa; Cnidaria; Anthozoa; Actiniaria; Edwardsiidae
Exons: 3
Source: RefSeq, a predicted model, not a curated record